UGGAGGGCAAGUCUGGUGCCAGCAGCCGCGGUAAUUCCAGCUCCAAUAGCGUAUAUUAAAGUUGUUGCAGUUAAAAAACUCGUAGUUGAAUUUCGGGGUUCUACCGUUGGUCGGGCUUUGUCUGUACUGGUGUGUAGAAUUUCUACCUUCUGGGGAACCAUCAUGCUAUUAAUUUAGCGUGGUGGGAAACCAGGACCUUUACCUUGAAAAAAUUAGUGUGUUCAAAGCAGGCUUAUGUCUGAAUACAUUAGCGUGGAAUAAUAGAAUAGGACGGUGGUCCUGUUUUGUUGGUUUCUGAAUCACCGUAAUGAUUAAUAGGGAUAGUUGGGGGCAUUAGUAUUCAAUUGUCAGAGGUGAAAUUCUUGGAUUUAUUGAAGACUAACUUCUGCGAAAGCAUUUGCCAAGGAUGUUUUCAUUAAUCAAGAACGAAAGUUAGGGGAUCGAAGACGAUCAGAUACCGUCGUAGUCUUAACCAUAAACUAUGCCGACUAGGGAUCGGACGAUGUUAAUUUUUCUUGACUCGUUCGGCGCCUUACGGGAAAC
This 543-nucleotide ribosomal RNA is filed under the name uncultured Glomeromycotina. RNAcentral's name for it is "SSU rRNA". It matches the Rfam family "Eukaryotic small subunit ribosomal RNA", at positions 549 to 1098 of the family's 1831-position model. The record is from RNAcentral. Lineage: Eukaryota; Fungi; Glomeromycota.